This 526-nucleotide ribosomal RNA is filed under the name uncultured bacterium. Its description in RNAcentral is "bacterial SSU rRNA". It matches the Rfam family "Bacterial small subunit ribosomal RNA", at positions 777 to 1301 of the family's 1533-position model. The record is from RNAcentral.
AAUAGAUACCCCGGUAGUCCACGCCGUAAACGAUGAGUGCUAAGUGUUAGAGGGUUUCCGCCCUUUAGUGCUGCAGCUAACGCAUUAAGCACUCCGCCUGGGGAGUACGGCCGCAAGGCUGAAACUCAAAGGAAUUGACGGGGGCCCGCACAAGCGGUGGAGCAUGUGGUUUAAUUCGAAGCAACGCGAAGAACCUUACCAGGUCUUGACAUCCUCUGACAACCCUAGAGAUAGGGCUUUCCUCUUCGGGGGACAGAGUGACAGGUGGUGCAUGGUUGUCGUCAGCUCGUGUCGUGAGAUGUUGGGUUAAGUCCCGCAACGAGCGCAACCCUUGAUCUUAGUUGCCAGCAUUCAGUUGGGCACUCUAAGGUGACUGCCGGUGACAAACCGGAGGAAGGUGGGGAUGACGUCAAAUCAUCAUGCCCCUUAUGACCUGGGCUACACACGUGCUACAAUGGAUGGUACAAAGGGCUGCAAACCUGCGAAGGUAAGCGAAUCCCAUAAAGCCAUUCUCAGUUCGGAUUGC